GCGGGGUUAGCUCAGUUGGUUAGAGCGUGGUGCUAAUAACACCAAGUUCACAGGUUCAAUCCCUGCUCACUGCA
RNAcentral lists this transfer RNA (74 nucleotides) under Pelecanus crispus (Dalmatian pelican). It matches the Rfam family "tRNA". From Rfam's summary of the family: Transfer RNA (tRNA) molecules are approximately 80 nucleotides in length. Their secondary structure includes four short double-helical elements and three loops (D, anti-codon, and T loops). Further hydrogen bonds mediate the characteristic L-shaped molecular structure. tRNAs have two regions of fundamental functional importance: the anti-codon, which is responsible for specific mRNA codon recognition, and the 3' end, to which the tRNAs corresponding amino acid is attached (by aminoacyl-tRNA synthetases). tRNAs cope with the degeneracy of the genetic code in two manners: having more than one tRNA (with a specific anti-codon) for a particular amino acid; and 'wobble' base-pairing, i.e. permitting non-standard base-pairing at the 3rd anti-codon position. The record is from Rfam by way of RNAcentral. Lineage: Eukaryota; Metazoa; Chordata; Aves; Pelecaniformes; Pelecanidae.